Molecule: ribosomal RNA, 497 nt
Filed under: uncultured bacterium
Lineage: Bacteria
Description: partial 16S ribosomal RNA
Rfam family: Bacterial small subunit ribosomal RNA
Source: RNAcentral
GAUGAACGCUGGCGGCGUGCCUAAUACAUGCAAGUCGAGCGAACAGACGAGGAGCUUGCUCCUCUGACGUUAGCGGCGGACGGGUGAGUAACACGUGGAUAACCUACCUAUAAGACUGGGAUAACUUCGGGAAACCGGAGCUAAUACCGGAUAAUAUAUUGAACCGCAUGGUUCAAUAGUGAAAGACGGUUUUGCUGUCACUUAUAGAUGGAUCCGCGCCGCAUUAGCUAGUUGGUAAGGUAACGGCUUACCAAGGCGACGAUGCGUAGCCGACCUGAGAGGGUGAUCGGCCACACUGGAACUGAGACACGGUCCAGACUCCUACGGGAGGCAGCAGUAGGGAAUCUUCCGCAAUGGGCGAAAGCCUGACGGAGCAACGCCGCGUGAGUGAUGAAGGUCUUCGGAUCGUAAAACUCUGUUAUUAGGGAAGAACAAAUGUGUAAGUAACUAUCCACGUCUUGAUGGUACCUAAUCAGAAAGCCACGGCUAACUACGUG